Long non-coding RNA from Populus euphratica (Euphrates poplar), 2305 nucleotides. RefSeq lists it as uncharacterized. NCBI's taxonomy places the organism in Eukaryota, Viridiplantae, Streptophyta, Magnoliopsida, Malpighiales, Salicaceae. The record is from RefSeq and is a predicted model, not a curated record. The transcript is spliced from 2 exons.
AGAAUUUAUCUUAUUUAAUUCUUACUGUUAUCUCUUAACAAUGCACAAAUCAUCAUAUUUUUCUAGUUUGAAUUUGGAUUUGACAACUUAAUUAGUCCCUUAAACUCGUAGUGGAUAUAUGUUGCCUACCUUAAUGAUCCAAAAAUAAAGUCUGCUUUUGCAAAGAAACGAGGGAGAGUGGAGUUCUUGCAUGAGCUUUUCAUAAAUUGUGCGGACAUUCCAAGAGGUUUGCAAUGCUGGUGAGAAUUGCUGAUAAUCUUCAGUUGACUUCGGAGUUGGGCUAUAGCCUUUUGUAGGUCGUGUCUCUGUCUCCCUGCCUUUAUGUUCUUUCAAUGAGGCUGUUGCUGAACACAUCUUGUGGAUUCUUCUGGUGAUGCUUGCUUCAGUAUCAGUUAGCUGUUUCCUCCUUUCAGUAUCUGUGGAAGCUGAUUCGAUCUCUGAGGAUUAUGUCAAACCUGGUAUUUUACUUCAUUUCAAUAUGGUGAUCCUGGUAAGGGCUGGCACACAAUUGCAAAAGAAGGGCAGGUGAUACUAGAAUCUGGAAAAUAGGAUGACCACUAUGUAUCAUUUCAUCUUGAAUUUAGAGUUAAUCUUGUUAGUGUUUGCAUGACCACGUUAGUGGCAACAACUCACAGCACAGGCAAUAAGAAAAAAAAAUAUAAGAUGCUUAAUAUCCCAAAUUCAAUUUUAACUAAUUAUGUUCUUGAUUGAAUGUUUUUUCUAUCAGGCUUUGGAUUCAUCCAUGAACCUGCAGGACUUCUGUCAUCCAUUUUCCCUGUUAUGCUGUCCUCCGGCUGAUGAGCUUCAGAAGUUAUUAUUCAAAGUGGAAAGUAGAUUAACUAUGUCUGCUUAUAUGUGUGUGUGUGUGUGUGUAGCAGAUAAGAAUACAUGGUUACUCUUGCUUCAAUAUACAGAAGCAAGUCCUCUUCUCUUUCUGAAUUUCAAUAACAGAAGUAGCUUUUUUCUAAGAAAACCUUUUGACUCAUUUGGUUUCUUACCAUUUUACCUACUAUAAUUGUACGUUUGACAGUGUAAAGUUUGCAGUCCUUGGUUAUUUUCUGGAGUGAUGUCUAAACUAUAGGCUUGCUGUGAGCUUUUCCUGUUCUUGUUGAUCUCAUGCUUGCAGGAAUCUGAAACAAGGCAAACUUGUUACUAAAAUCAGAUAUUUGCCUCAAACACAUAAUGAAAAAGAAGUGCAAUUUGACUUAUUCUUCCUGAACUUUACAGGAUUUUUCCUACCUUCCUCUUCUGGAGACCCUUCAGGGCUCCGCCAUGUAAGAAUUUAUGUUGCUUUUAAGUUUUGUCAUGUAGAUUGUAAUUUACACCUUCAAAAUACUCCUUGCCGUGGAAGAGGAUGUGCUCUUAACUUGUUUAAAUUCCUUAAACAUUAGAAAAUAGAGAGGGAGAAAAAACAAGACGUAGUUGCAUGUUGCUUACCACUUUUUUUCUGGGUUUUUAAGAGACCCUUGUGAAAGGAACAAUCUUGCAGGUGCCCUAGUUGAAAGCAGUCAUAUUUAUCAGCCUGUGCCGUGCCGGUAUGUCAUCUAAGAUGUGGAAAGUUACUGGUCGAGCAUGCUCUAACAUGGGUGCUUGAUAGGAGACUAUGGUUGUACUGCCCUGCUUGUUCUCAACAGGAACUGGUGAGAAGCUAUCUGAAACUGGCGAGGCUCGCUUCUCUUGUAACCUCAAGUUUGUUUUGCAGUUUUCUUUUAGCAUGCCUUGUUUCUUUUUCUCAUUUCUGGCUUCUUAUUUUCAACUCUGCCUUCAGGCUGAUGCUCAAGACUUUGGUAAUCACUACAUUCGAACUUUGGUUACUUUAAUUUGAUUAUGAAACCUCUCUUGGCUGCUCUUCACAAUUAUCUAGCAUUCCUGUUGAUGGUUCCUGCUGACACAAUCCACAGAAGCUGCUGUUUACAAGGCAUAGAGGAGCAGAUAUACCAGAAUCCCUAGUCUGGAAAUGAUUAUCUUUCCAGGAAGCUUGUGGCUCCGAUGAAUACUCGUCUGAAAAAAAUUCAUCGAUAUGCACAAAUUCAGCUCGAGCUCGAGCGCAAGCAAUAAAACUUGAAUGCUUGAAAUUAGACGAAAAAAAUUCAUCGAUAUGCACAAAUUCAGCUCAAGCUCGAGCGCAAGCAAUAAAACUUGAAUGCUUGAAAUUCUAUAGCUUUGUUGUGGAUUGCUAUUUUAAAUUCGUGCAUUUGCUUGACAAAACAAAAUACGACAACGAGAUCUUUUAAAUAUCUGAAAUUUGAUUUGUUUUUCACGGUUUAAUGGUGCCAGAAGAAGGAUUUGCUUUGAUUUAAAAUUA